RNAcentral lists this ribosomal RNA (119 nucleotides) under Helianthus annuus (common sunflower). The record is from RNAcentral. Lineage: Eukaryota; Viridiplantae; Streptophyta; Magnoliopsida; Asterales; Asteraceae.
GGUUGCGAUCAUACCAGCACUAAUGCACCGGAUCCUAUCAGAACUCCGCAGUCAAGCGUGCUUGGGCGAGAGUAGUACUAGGAUGGGUGACCCCCUGGGAAGUCCUCGUGUUGCAACCC